GAGAGGAGCCUGGUCCUGGAUUCCCUGUACUUCGUGAUCAGACCGGAUCAUGGAUCUGCAGCUGAGCUGGCUAUUCCUUGUUGCUAUUUUAACAGGUGUGCAGUGUGAAGUGCAGCUGGUGGAGUCUGGGGGAGGCUUGGUGCAGCCUGGGGGGUCCCUGAGACUCUCUUGUGAAGCCUCUGGAUUCACCUUCAGUGAUUACUGGAUGUACUGGGUCCGCCAGGCUCCGGGGAAAGGGCUGGAGUGGGUUAGCUUAAUUAGACUCAAAGCUAAUAGUUACACAACAGAAUAUGCUACGUCUGUGAAAGGAAGAUUCACCAUAUCCAGAGAUGACGGCAAGAGCAUGCUUUAUCUGCAGAUGAACAGCCUGCGGGCCGAGGACACAGCCACGUAUUACUGUACUACCACACAGUGAAGAAACUCCA
Non-coding RNA from Dipodomys ordii (Ord's kangaroo rat), 425 nucleotides. Lineage: Eukaryota; Metazoa; Chordata; Mammalia; Rodentia; Heteromyidae. The record is from the annotation of a RefSeq genome assembly.